Molecule: ribosomal RNA, 433 nt
Filed under: uncultured bacterium
Lineage: Bacteria
Description: partial 16S ribosomal RNA
Rfam family: Bacterial small subunit ribosomal RNA
Source: RNAcentral
AACGAACGCUGGCGGCAUGCCUAACACAUGCAAGUCGAACGACACCUUCGGGUCUAGUGGCGCACUGGUGCGUAACGCGGGGGAACCUGCCCUUAGGUUCGGAAUAACUCCCCGAAAGGGGUGCUAAUACCGGAUAAUGUCUUCGGACCACAGAUUUAUCGCCUUUGGAUGGGCCCGCGUUGGAUUAGCUAGUUGGUAGGGUAAAAGCCUACCAAGGCGACGAUCCAUAGCUGGUCUGAGAGGAUGAUCAGCCACACUGGGACUGAGACACGGCCCAGACUCCUACGGGAGGCAGCAGUGGGGAAUAUUGGACAAUGGGCGAAAGCCUGAUCCAGCAAUGCCGCGUGAGUGAUGAAGGCCUUAGGGUUGUAAAGCUCUUUUACCCGGGAUGAUAAUGACAGUACCGGGAGAAUAAGCUCCGGCUAACUCCGUG